Molecule: transfer RNA, 77 nt
Filed under: Oscillospiraceae bacterium
Lineage: Bacteria; Bacillati; Bacillota; Clostridia; Eubacteriales; Oscillospiraceae
Description: tRNA-Asp
Rfam family: tRNA
About the family: Transfer RNA (tRNA) molecules are approximately 80 nucleotides in length. Their secondary structure includes four short double-helical elements and three loops (D, anti-codon, and T loops).
Source: RNAcentral
GGUCCGGUAGUUCAGUUGGUUAGAACGCCGCCCUGUCACGGCGGAGGUCACGAGUUCGAGUCUCGUUCGGAUCGCCA